AAAAUCUACUAGGUCGUUUCAAUAUUUUUUAAAGUUAAUCGCUCAAAUACAAAGUAAUGAUUUAUUCUGUACAAGUUAUUAGAAAAAUCAAUAAAUUCUGGAAGUGUAUUUUAUUGAUGAAAAACAUACUAAAAAGUAUAGGAAAAUCUAAUGAAUUCCAUGAGCCUAAUAAUCCUAAUCAAAUGUAUUAGAAAAUCUAUUAAUUUUCAAAUAUUUAUUUUUAUAUGGAAUUUACAUUUUGCAUAUCUAAUAAACUAACUAACAAUUCGCACCGACUCGAUUGUUAUGUGAAUUUGGUAAGAAAACCCGUAAAAUGGCCAAAAAAGUACUGCAAACUGUACGCACCGAGGCCGAAAACAUCGCUAGCGAUGAAGCUCGCAGUAGAUGCGAAAAAAAACUUCACCCACCCGGCCGGACAAACACCGGAACAGUUCCAGCGCCGAACGAGGUGAAAACUGGGCAGAAACGACCAUACAUUCACAUCAUCAACAGCAGGAGCAAUACUUUGGCGGAAAAAAAACAUCACUCGUCCAGUUCCUCAAUCAUCAUUGCGACCACACAACCAGUCAUAACAUCCCGAAGGCUGGAGAAUUGUGCUAAUGACCGGAAUCCAGCUAGCAUUAUGUAAAGAGUAUUCCGCUUGGUUUCCCUGCUUGCCGGAUCUCUUCACACAAAAUUUAGCAACUGAAGAAGAAAAUAUUCCGAAUUCGGAUCGAAACGAAUCAAAAACAAGAACAAAGAAUAAGUCGCCACAUCAAAAGCCGCAGCAGUGGACUCUGGCAUAAGAAAACAUCCAACAGCCGUCACUGAUCGUAUCACCAACACCACCACUAGCCCGAGCAUUGACCGGUAAAGUCCCGUACAAACACCAGAGCAUUUCCGGCGCCAAACAAGGUGAACACUGGGCUGGAACAAUCAGCACCACUUCAUCAACAGCAGCAAAAGUAAACAUUACUCUGACGGAUGAAAACUCGUCCACGAUUGCGACCACAGACAACAGCCGCUACCGAUCAGAAGCAUCACCAAAUCCAACAUCAUACAUUCGCUGGAAGCAUUCUCUCUCAUUACUACCCGCUUAUCGCUGGAAGAGCCUAUAGCUACAAGUACUUGAUUUUUCUUCUCCCACGGCAGAAGAGCACCCGGCAGCGGAAGUGGCUCAAGCAGCCGUUACAUUUUUUUGGAUAGUUACUCGGACAAAAUUCUGCGGCUCAAACAGGAACAGAAGGCUCUGCAGGCACGGCUUCAGCGGCAAUCGACGUCACCGGAUUCCCGGACCAAUGGUUCGGGACUGCGUAAGCCCGGUCAAGAUCCAUUUGUCGGAGGUCAGAAACGGAAGAAUCCAUUUUUCAGAAGUGACGAUCCUGUUCAGUAAGACCACUUCCAAAGAAGUGCUGGCCACUGAUGCUACAGUUGCGAACAAACUUUUUGAGCCAAGUUCACAUCGAUCCACACCAACAACUGAUCGGUAAUCAGUGCCAGUAAGCUACCAAAGCCCAUCAAAAAUUUUACCAUCGAUAGGAGGUCUGACGUCUUAAGACCGUUUCUUCGGAAUCAAGAAUUCGUCGGCUGGUCUAAUAUUUCGCUUGGUGCGAGAUUCUAUCAAAGUACAUUAAACUACAAUACAAAGAUUUUACAAAAGGAACUUGAUGGAUACGCAAAUUUGAGGUAGAGUAACCUGGAUGAUGAUUCAGAUUUCAAUCCUAUUUUGCGAUCCUGGUCUUAUGCUAAAGUCGGUGGAACGGUGGAUGGCAUCGUCAACAACGUUGGAUAAUAUAGGAUAGGGAACUUACAAUGAAAACGGAACAACCACCCCCGAAGUGUCAUUUCCUAAUUUGAGCACUUAAGUGAUUAAUAAAAUAUUAUAAUGCUUCAA
Uranotaenia lowii is the source of this 1873-nucleotide long non-coding RNA. RefSeq lists it as uncharacterized. Lineage: Eukaryota; Metazoa; Arthropoda; Insecta; Diptera; Culicidae. The transcript is spliced from 6 exons. The record is from RefSeq and is a predicted model, not a curated record.